GAUGAACGCUGGCGGCGUGCCUAAUACAUGCAAGUCGAGCGAACCACUUCGGUGGUGAGCGGCGAACGGGUGAGUAACACGUAGGUGAUCUGCCCAUCAGACGGGGACAACGAUUGGAAACGAUCGCUAAUACCGGAUAGGACGAAAGUUUAAAGGUGCUUCUGGCACCGCUGAUGGAUGAGCCUGCGGGCCAUUAGCGAGUUGGUAGGGUAAAGGCUUACCAAGGCGACGAUGCGUAGCCGACCUGAGAGGGUGGACGGCCACACUGGGACUGGGACACGGCCCAGAAUCCUACGGGAGGCAGCAGUAGGGAAUCUUCGGCAAUGGGCGAAAGCCUGACCGAGCAACGCCGCGGGAAUGAUGAAGGCCUUCGGGUUGUAUAAUUCUGUUAUAAGGGAAGAACGACUUUAGUAGGAAAUGGCUAGAGUGUGACGGUACCUUAUGAGAAAGCCACGGCUAACUACGUGCCAGCCGCCGCAGUAA
Molecule: ribosomal RNA, 483 nt
Filed under: uncultured bacterium
Lineage: Bacteria
Description: partial 16S ribosomal RNA
Rfam family: Bacterial small subunit ribosomal RNA
Source: RNAcentral